Molecule: RNA transcript, 1922 nt
Organism: Populus trichocarpa (black cottonwood)
Lineage: Eukaryota; Viridiplantae; Streptophyta; Magnoliopsida; Malpighiales; Salicaceae
Exons: 7
Source: RefSeq, a predicted model, not a curated record
AAAUUCUAUUUAUGAAUAUAUAACGUUGGGUUUCUGCUUCUUCCUGCUUUUCUAUUUCAUUUAGCAACCCAGUUUUUGUCACGAGGAACCCCUUUUAUUUUCAAUUCCUGGAUCUUCAGGCUCCUCACAGAUAGGACUAUGCGUGCAAUUCCAUCCAUUUGUGACAUGCGUGUUGUUUCUUAGUUGGGAAGGAUUCCGACGAGUCUGCACGAGGGCUGACAUUGAAUGGCUGUGCAAGCUUUUAGCUGAACCCUUGUAUAUCCUCUCCCAAAAUUUGCUCUUGCUUAAAAUGUGGUUGAUUGUUGAAACAGCAGCUACCUUUUUGCAUUGUCUGACAAUGUACAUCAUUCUUUCCAAGCAAAGACUAGGAACUAUAAUGGAUUGUGAUAAGCAGCAGCUAGCAUGUGUUUUCUGUUCACUCAUCUAUCCUCUCAAAAGCUAAUUCUUCAAAAAGAGGAAAAGAUUGUUCUUGUAUGGUUGGAUACCCCAAACAACCAGGCUGUAUAUGGACUUGUUCACAAGUUAGGGAGCUUAGUUGUGAGAUUGGUGAAUCUUCCAUUCAAGGAAAGUUCACAUGCUACAUUUUCCAGGUCUGCAUCAGGUUUAUUUCUCUCCUCAUUUGUUCUCUUAACAUUGUUCUGAUUUCAACAGAUUUGCUUAUGUUGUUUUGAUGGUUCUGGUCUCUUCAUGUGUUCUUUUGCAUUUUCUUGCUUUGUGGUUUCAUCAUUUUCGACAAAUUUGCUUAUGCUGUCUUGAUGGUACUGGUCUCUUCAUGUUUUAUUUUGCAUUUUAUUGCUUUGUGGUUUCAUCAUUUUUGUUAUGUAUUUGAAUCUAGCCUAUGCUUUUAGCUAGCACCGUAUCGUUUUUAGUUAAGAAACAUAGUUACAAACUUUGUUGAGGGCAGCAAGACAGGACCUGGAAAAAGAAAUUUUCCCAUCUUCUGUAUUAUUGUGCCAUUACACUUGCCUGCUAAUGCCACUACUACUACUAGCUUAUCUUGUGUGACCAGGCAUUUUCCCUGGAAUAGUGUGUGUGAUUAACUCCUUUGCUCGCCAGAAUGGUUAAGAAUUUGUAGAUUCUUUCCCUUUCUUUUCUUUUGGGCUGAAAGAUUUACAUUCGGAAUACAUGCAGUAAAUGCAUUUCAACAUCAAUUUGAAGUCACAAUAUUUCUGUUUACCUUCAUAAGUAGCUGAAUGCUUCUCCUCUCAUGACGGGACAAGAUCCAACAAAAGUAGGAAAUUGAUGACAUAUUCUUUAUUAAAUUGAAAUUCUCUGGUCACUGGUUUCUUGACUAUUCUGAGGAUAUGAUUUCGAGGGUUAUAUUCUCUGCAUUAUUCAUCAAACACUACUUCCAGGUAUGGAUUUGAGGCUUUAAGUCUUCCAUGUUUGUGGGCAUUUACAUGAGCCUUAUACUGGAUUUGUGUUUUUCUCUGUGCAGGAUUCUUCUGCAUUUUCUUUUACCAGCUGCUUACCUUCAGUUACCGCUGUGAGAGGCCUUUUAUCAACCAAAUUAUCCCUAACAAACAAGGGCCUUUGAAUGCAGCACAAAAAACACAAGGGCAAGGGAGGUAAGUUAAAUCUUGAUUCAGAGUGAAAGAGGAUGAAUUACUCUGUUGAAGUCCAUUUCAUGUUACAGUGGGAUUAUUAGUAGCAAGGCUUUAUAGCUGCAUUUGUUGAAUCUAAGCCAGAGCCAAACGAGUGAAAAGGUUCCUUCUCUUGCCAGAAUUACUCGAUACCCAACAAAGAACUACGGAUCACUUACUCCUCAAUUUGGGCUAGAACUUCACGCUUCAAUAACAGCGUUGCUAGUAGUGUUGUAUUUUCAAAACAAUAAUACACUGCAUUGUUUAGCUUACGAACUACAUUGCAAUUUUAUUUUGUAAUUUUUGUGUGGUAAUAAAGCUUUUCCUUUGUGUCAAAAA